GAUGAACGCUGGCGGCGUGCCUAACACAUGCAAGUCGAGCGGACGGACAAGUAGCUUGCUACUUGAAAGUUAGCGGCGGACGGGUGAGUAACGCGUGAGUAACCUGCCUUGAACAGGGGGACAACACAGAGAAAUUUGUGCUAAUACCGCAUAAAUUCAUUAGGGGGCAUCCCCAAGAUGAACAAAGGAGAAAUCCGGUUUAAGAUGGACUCGCGUCCAAUUAGCUAGUUGGUAGGGUAAUGGCCUACCAAGGCGACGAUUGGUAGCCGAACUGAGAGGUUGAUCGGCCACAUUGGGACUGAGACACGGCCCAGACUCCUACGGGAGGCAGCAGUGGGGAAUAUUGCGCAAUGGGGGAAACCCUGACGCAGCAACGCCGCGUGAAGGAAGAAGGCUCUCGGGUUGUAAACUUCUUUGAUCAGGGAAGA
RNAcentral lists this ribosomal RNA (428 nucleotides) under uncultured bacterium. Its description in RNAcentral is "bacterial SSU rRNA". It matches the Rfam family "Bacterial small subunit ribosomal RNA", at positions 28 to 448 of the family's 1533-position model. The record is from RNAcentral.